GAGAGUUUGAUCCUGGCUCAGGAUGAACGCUGGCGGCGUGCUUAACACAUGCAAGUCGAACGGUGAAGCCCAGCUUGCUGGGUGGAUCAGUGGCGAACGGGUGAGUAACACGUGAGCAACCUGCCCCUGACUCUGGGAUAAGCGCUGGAAACGGCGUCUAAUACUGGAUAUUUGCUCCUGCCGCAUGGUGGGGGUUGGAAAGAUUUUUUGGUUGGGGAUGGGCUCGCGGCCUAUCAGCUUGUUGGUGAGGUAAUGGCUCACCAAGGCGUCGACGGGUAGCCGGCCUGAGAGGGUGACCGGCCACACUGGGACUGAGACACGGCCCAGACUCCUACGGGAGGCAGCAGUGGGGAAUAUUGCACAAUGGGCGGAAGCCUGAUGCAGCAACGCCGCGUGAGGGAUGACGGCUUUCGGGUUGUAAACCUCUUUUAGCAAGGAAGAAGCUUUUGUGAAGGUACUUGCAGAAAAAGCGCCGGCUAACUACGUGCCAGCAGCCGCGGUAAUACGUAGGGCGCAAGCGUUAUCCGGAAUUAUUGGGCGUAAAGAGCUCGUAGGCGGUUUGUCGCGUCUGCUGUGAAAUCCCGAGGCUCAACCUCGGGCCUGCAGUGGGUACGGGCAGACUAGAGUGCGGUAGGGGAGAUUGGAAUUCCUGGUGUAGCGGUGGAAUGCGCAGAUAUCAGGAGGAACACCGAUGGCGAAGGCAGAUCUCUGGGCCGUAACUGACGCUGAGGAGCGAAAGGGUGGGGAGCAAACAGGCUUAGAUACCCUGGUAGUCCACCCCGUAAACGUUGGGAACUAGUUGUGGGGUCCUUUCCACGGAUUCCGUGACGCAGCUAACGCAUUAAGUAC
RNAcentral lists this ribosomal RNA (849 nucleotides) under Microbacterium terrae. RNAcentral describes it as "bacterial SSU rRNA". It matches the Rfam family "Bacterial small subunit ribosomal RNA", at positions 8 to 867 of the family's 1533-position model. The record is from RNAcentral. Lineage: Bacteria; Bacillati; Actinomycetota; Actinomycetes; Micrococcales; Microbacteriaceae.